AUUGAACGCUGGCGGCAUGCCUUACACAUGCAAGUCGAACGGUAACAGGUCUUCGGAUGCUGACGAGUGGCGAACGGGUGAGCAAUACAUCGGAACGUGCCUAGUAGUGGGGGAUAACUACUCGAAAGAGUGGCUAAUACCGCAUGAGAUCUACGGAUGAAAGCAAGGGAUCGCAAGACCUUGUGCUACUAGAGCGGCCGAUGGCAGAUUAGGUAGUUGGUGGGAAAAAAGCUUACCAAGCCGACGAUCUGUAGCUGGUCUGAGAGGACGAUCGGCCACACGGGGACGGAGACACGGCCCAGACUCCUACGGGAGGAAGCAGUGGGGAAUUUUGGACAAUGGGGGAAAGCCUGAUCCAGCAAUGCCGCGUGCAGGAUGAAGGCCUUCGGGUUGUAAACUGCUUUUGUACGGAACGAAAAAGCUUCUCCUAAUACGAGAGGCCCAUGACGGUACCGUAAGAAUAAGCACCGGCUAACUACGUGCCAGCAGCCGCGGUAA
This 498-nucleotide ribosomal RNA is filed under the name uncultured bacterium. RNAcentral's name for it is "partial 16S ribosomal RNA". It matches the Rfam family "Bacterial small subunit ribosomal RNA", at positions 30 to 523 of the family's 1533-position model. The record is from RNAcentral.